CUUACAUCACGUGUCUGUGGCAGUAUGUCAUGAAGAUCAUGUUAUCUUUUCUCUUUCGGUCAGACUUACUCGACCUCUAAAGUUCUCUGUGAGCCACAAUCAAACUCAUCGCCUCACGGGAGUUUUGAAUCCUGAGGUCUUCUGAUUCAAUGCCCAUCAAGUAAAAUACUAAUCGGCUGUCGAGUCCUGCCCUCUAACCCUGCUAAUCCUUUUUCAAGACUGGCAAAGCUGGAUGCCUCCUUCCUCCGGUGAAAUUCCUUGGAUAUAGAACGGAUGGGGUUGUGAUAUUUAUGUGCUGAGUUAGGACAUCCAACCCACAUUCCUACAAGAUGCAGUCAGACAAAGUGAUUUAUUUUCCCUAAUAUAUGCUGCUGUCCAGGUAAUGUAAAUCCUGUCACAGGGCUCUACACUGACGUCCAUUCACCCUCCAGUUUGGUUCUAAUGCUGAAAGGGGCAUCAAUUAUGAAUAUAUCGGAUAUGACUGCGUUUGACUCCCAUUCUAAAAUCCUGUGUUACUCUCUGAGAACACAAAAAAAUCAAUACUUUUUUUAAUGUUUCUUAAAAUCAGUGUGCUGGGUGUCAUUUUGGAAAUCAGUGCUUCAUGUCACGUCAACUUUUCUGUAAUAUGGCAAGACUUCAGUUUGAGGUAGCCGGAUAUAAUUCCAAACUCUGAAAAUAAGCAUGGCUGUGAAUGUAAAAACAUCAGUGAUAUCAGUGGGUCACACCUCAGUGCCUCCUUCUCUGUGCUUUGUAUUAGUACAUGUGCCAUUUUAAUAACUCAAUGUAUCAGAUGAGGUGUGUGACUUAUUGAACAGGCUUACAAUCUUAGAGUCUUGUGACCUGAUGGUAAACGUCAUUAAAAAGGAAGUGAAAGCUGUGAUAAAAAGUACCGGGAAUGCCGAGAGGGCAGAUGGCUGUGGGAAAGGGAAGUAACUAAAUGGAAAUAUCGGUUUUUAUAUCAUAGGUUGCUUUAUCUGACAAACCUGACACUCAACAAUCCAGAGACAAACAGAGGAACUUACUCUUCAACAGGCCCCUUUAUGUCACACUCAGGAUGUCAGUCUUUGAGUUUACAAUCAUCAAAGUAAGUAUGCCUGGAAACAGAUUUGGGUGCAUUGAAUUGUGUUGAUUUUAUUUUCCCAUAGACUAACACAGGAACCAUCACCUGCUGGUUUGACGACUUUCACUGUGAAGCCUUAAUUGCCCUAACCUUUAAACCACAUGUCACAAAUUAGAGAUAGAUAUGAUUUAAAAACACAAAACAUUGCACUCUCAUAUGGUUCUGGCUCAAGCAUAUGCUGCUUUACUCUAAUUCUGACCAUAUGGUACCAUAACGCUCUCAGCUGUGGCCUCACAUGAGACUAACACAUGUCGGAGCUUUUUCCUCUUUAUCACUGGCCAAUCUAAAAACUCCAGUGACAGCUACUUUUGAGAUUUUGGAGCGAUUUGUCAUUCAGCAUUGAUUUUCUUUCAGACAGAACAGGAUGUUCAUUCCAGCCAUCAGCAGGGGUUACGACAUUUGGGGAAUGGUGAAAUAAAUGAAAUAGUUAUAGCAGAAAUGAUCAGUCACACACAGAGUUAGGAGACCAAGUAGGAAACACUACUUGGUCUCCCAACAUAACAUAACAUAACUCGUGUUCAUCCCUCUACCUAACCACAACCCUGUGCUAUCAGAAAAUAGUCCUCCAAGGUCAGUGUUAUCAGGGCGUAACAGUUUAGUUGGUGCACGUCAAAAAAUGUUUUUACCAAAGAAGUCGUUUUUUUUUAGGGUUUGGGUUAUUUGUCAUAAAUAUAAUCAUAGACCUCACAGAGUAAACAUUGCUAGGACCAUUAGGGAUGAUUCAGUGAUGCUAUAAUGUGUUUCUGUGAGUGCAGCGCAUACUUGAAUGCUCACACUGGAUAUCUUGAAUCACAUUUAGAGAAAAAAAUAGCUGAAGACAAAUAAAAAGUAAAUUAAAAUUAUCAUAUUUAUCCUGGGUUUGUUACUCAUUCUGAAGAAGUUACAGGUGUGUCUAUUUUCCUUUCCUAUUUCAGCUAUGUACAGAAAAAGGCGUAACCCAAUGCAAGAUGCUGGAGGCAGGAAUAAAACUCAAAUAUGUCUUUAAUUCAAGGAAAUCUGAAGAAUAUACAAAAUCUGAAACCAACGAGCAAAACAGGGAAUACCAAACUCGAGAGCUCAAGGUAGGGUUGGAAACACUGGGAAUGCAGAAGCUGGGGACACGCAGCAGCAGACAACACUACACCAAACAGAGAAAAGGACUAAUUUUUACUGCAACUAAUUAAUUUACUGCAAUCAUUUUUUUUUUCGGAUCAGAUUUUUUGCAUGCAAAUAAACAAAUCUGACCACUCAGACCACUGCAGUUGGCAAUAAGCGCACUUGUAGCUCAAAAACCUGCAGUGACAUGGAAAUAUAAAGUAAUCCUAUUUUACCUCAGGCACAUAGUAAGACACUGCUUCAGGUCAAUCAGCUUUCAGAAAUUUGUUCAAACUGCCCUGCUGUCAUCCUCCAAAAUCAUGAUACAGCUUCAACUCCUGGAUCACACCAUGAAAUUUACCCUGCUGCUGCCUUCUCCUGAGAAUUUGGCAUUGUUUUUAUAUCUGGUGUGCAAUUAAAACACACCUGAUAACAAGGUGAGAAGUAACAGGUGUGAUGCACGAAUAGGCAAAACGGAAUUACAACACGAAUAACACAGAGAACAAGAGUUAACAAAAUAAAACAAGGCACAACUGAACGGGGAACAAGGGAGAAAAGAGAAUGGGAACACAGAAAGGAAUCUACUCAAUAAACCUUAGGAUCUCUGGACAUGACAUCAAAUAACACCAUUCAGAGCUCAUACAAGGCAUCAGGCAAAAAAAGAGGUGUGAACACUAAUAAAUAACAGAAAGCUAAACUAAA
Long non-coding RNA from Oreochromis aureus, 2896 nucleotides. RefSeq lists it as uncharacterized. NCBI's taxonomy places the organism in Eukaryota, Metazoa, Chordata, Actinopteri, Cichliformes, Cichlidae. The record is from RefSeq and is a predicted model, not a curated record. The transcript is spliced from 3 exons.